GCAGUGAGCAAGAACAUAGACCGGUUUUUGCUACAAAGCAUUGACUCCUCAUCAGUCUGAGCUUCCAGUUCACAGGAUCAUUGUCAUUCACAGUUGAGCAUGAGUAAUCUCACUUCAAAUAGAUCUCCAGGGAAAUAAAUGCCUGCAAAGAGAGCCCCUGGGGUAUGUCUUCUAGAUGAUUCCAAAUCCUCUCAAGUUGACUAUGAGAUUGACCAUCACGUGACCUGUUAGAAAGUCCAUAGCUCACUGAAGGAAAUGGGCUGAAGAGAUGGCUCAGGAGUUAAGAGCACUGG
Mus musculus (house mouse) is the source of this 293-nucleotide long non-coding RNA. RefSeq lists it as uncharacterized. Lineage: Eukaryota; Metazoa; Chordata; Mammalia; Rodentia; Muridae. The transcript is spliced from 3 exons. The record is from RefSeq and is a predicted model, not a curated record.